UAGAAAGUGGUGUAGUGGAUGCACGGAGAGUUUUGAUCUCUUUAGGUUGGGUUCAAACCCCUUCUUUUUAA
This 71-nucleotide transfer RNA is filed under the name Trigonectes rubromarginatus. RNAcentral's name for it is "tRNA-Gln". It matches the Rfam family "tRNA". From Rfam's summary of the family: Transfer RNA (tRNA) molecules are approximately 80 nucleotides in length. Their secondary structure includes four short double-helical elements and three loops (D, anti-codon, and T loops). Lineage: Eukaryota; Metazoa; Chordata; Actinopteri; Cyprinodontiformes; Rivulidae. The record is from RNAcentral.